UACGGAGGAUGCAAGCGUUAUCCGGAAUGAUUGGGCGUAAAGCGUCCGCAGGUGGCGAUUCAAGUCUGCGGUCAAAGACUGGGGCUUAACCCUGGAAAGGCCGUGGAAACUGAAUAGCUAGAGUGCAGUAGGGGUAGAGGGAAUUCCCGGUGUAGCGGUGAAAUGCGUAGAGCUCGGGAAGAACAUCGGUGGCGAAAGCGCUCUGCUGGACUGCAACUGACACUCAGGGACGAAAGCUAGGGGAGCGAAUGGG
RNAcentral lists this ribosomal RNA (253 nucleotides) under uncultured bacterium. Its description in RNAcentral is "partial 16S ribosomal RNA". It matches the Rfam family "Bacterial small subunit ribosomal RNA", at positions 524 to 776 of the family's 1533-position model. The record is from RNAcentral.